GAUGAACGCUAGCGGCAGGCCUAACACAUGCAAGGUCGAGGGGCAUCGCGGUGCAGCAAUGCACUGGCGGCGACCGGGUACGGGUGCGUAACGCGUAUGCAACCUGCCCCGCACCGGGGGAUAGCCCGCCGAAAGGCGGAUUAAUACCCCAUGGUCCCGGGGGCCCGCAUGGGCAUCCGGGUAAAGCCUUGGCGGUGCGGGAUGGGCAUGCGUGCCAUUAGCUGGCUGGUGGGGUAACGGCCCACCAGGGCAACGAUGGCUAGGGGGUCUGAGAGGAUGGUCCCCCACACUGGUACUGAGACACGGACCAGACUCCUACGGGAGGCAGCAGUGAGGAAUAUUGGUCAAUGGGCGGAAGCCUGAACCAGCCAUGCCGCGUGCGGGAUGAAGGCCCUACGGGUUGUAAACCGCUUUUCCCCGGGAAGAAUAACCCCGAUGAGUCGGGGGAUGCCGGUACCGGGGGAAUAAGGAUCGGCUAACUCCGUG
RNAcentral lists this ribosomal RNA (486 nucleotides) under uncultured bacterium. Its description in RNAcentral is "bacterial SSU rRNA". It matches the Rfam family "Bacterial small subunit ribosomal RNA", at positions 28 to 507 of the family's 1533-position model. The record is from RNAcentral.